Long non-coding RNA from Aphis gossypii (cotton aphid), 942 nucleotides. RefSeq lists it as uncharacterized. The transcript has 3 exons. The record is from RefSeq and is a predicted model, not a curated record. NCBI's taxonomy places the organism in Eukaryota, Metazoa, Arthropoda, Insecta, Hemiptera, Aphididae.
AGGACGAAUGAGAAUAAGUGAAUCUUAAGAGGAGAUUGUUAGCCGUUUAAUAGUAGCAAAAAUUUCAAAAUGUCCUCCGUGUUAUAUUAUAUUUGUAAGUCGUAGUCGGAAUGGAUUACGUGACAUAAAAUAUAAAGUAUUUGACUUUUAAUAUUAAAAUCAUUAAAAUAAAUAAAUACCUAUGAGAAAUUAUAGUAAUCGCAUUCUAAUUUUGAACCAAGCUAUAUAAAUGCAAUAUUAUGUAUACAAGUACUGCGCAUAUACGAAUAGUAUAUAUUUAUGUACUAUAUAAUAAUAUAUCACCGCUGACCUUUCCUCAAAUUUAAACGAUUUUCCGAAUAUACGUCAUGUUGCACACGUAUGUAGAUAAUAACUAAUAACUAUAAUAAAGUUUAAAUUCGACACGCCAGUGAAAUUUGUCUGCAAUAAACACGCGAGUUUAAAAUAUAAAAUAUCGAAAAUAAUGAUUCAACAGCGAUGACUGAACAUUUGAAUUACAAGCAGGACCGACGAAAGUCCAACUCGUUUUCGAACCUAUAAUUACAAUUAUUAUGAUAAUUAUUCUUUGGGAACAAUUUGUUUGGGCACUACGACUACGUUAUAUACAUAAUAUUAUUAUAAUUGGCACAGGAAAAAUCGCGAUGUAGUACGUACAUUGUGUUUCGAAUGUUUCGAUACACAUUAUCUACACGUCUUGUAAAGAUUUCAUAGUUACCUAGGUAUGUGCAUGAACUUUCAGACAUUUAUAAUAUUAUUUGAACUAUACAGGAAGUGGAAAACGAAUGGCUUUGAAUUUAAAUAUACCCAUGUUUUAAAAUGUUAUCAUAUUACUUUCAACAACUUCUAAUGUAAUCUGAACCUCUAUACGAUAAUAAUAUUGUGGUUUUGAAAUUCAUUUAAUCGGAACGACGAUAAAUAAUAUUUAAAACGUUGGAAAAUAUC